GGGGGCGUUCCGGUUUCGACAGGUAUUCUUCGUGCAGGUGAUGCGUCAAGGAGGUUGCGACUCCUUAAUAACGCUACAGUUAAAUAUAACUGCAAACAAUACAAACAACAAUUUAGCUUUCGCAGCGUAAAAAACUGCUAGCUAAGAUCAGUCUAACUUCUCCCAUGAGUUAGUAACUGGUCUCAAAUGAAGUGGGAUACGUGUAUAUUCUCCGUCUGUGAAUGUACAAAGAGAUAAUCAGACUCGCUAAUACUGAUGCUUGUUUAUCGGCUAGGUUGCAGCUAACUCUAAAUAGAUAAACUAUUGACGUAGAUUCAUCUGAUACGUGAUAUUUGGACAGGAGUUCGAUUCUCCUCGCCUCCAUAA
The sequence is a non-coding RNA, 366 nucleotides long. It matches the Rfam family "transfer-messenger RNA". From Rfam's summary of the family: Bacterial tmRNA, also known as 10Sa RNA or SsrA, is named for its dual tRNA and mRNA-like properties. Its role is to liberate the mRNA from a stalled ribosome. The record is from Rfam.